AUCGGUGUAUACUUAACCCCGCUAGAAAAGUUCGGCUAUUUUAUUGCGGCCUGUUACGAAGUCGUUUUGCUGUACCUCGUUUUGUAAGUCCCAAGUAAUACCUACGUUUUUAGCAAUACCCUAGAAAUUCACAUGCACUACGAGGAAUCACAGCAUGUCUACAGUAACUGGUAAAGUAAAAUUCUUUAACGAAGCUAAAGGCUUCGGUUUCAUCGAACAAGAACAAGGCGCAGAUGUAUUCGUACAUUUCAGCGCGAUUCAGUCUGACGGUUUCAAAACCUUAGCUGAAGGCCAACAAGUACAGUUCACUAUCGCUCAAGGUCCUAAAGGUCCUCAAGCUGAGAACGUACAGCCUUUAUAAUUCGUGAUUCACGAAAAGAAUUAGUUAAAAACGCCGCUUCUUAGCGGCGUUUUUUUA
RNAcentral lists this small RNA (418 nucleotides) under Pseudidiomarina planktonica. RNAcentral describes it as "Idiomarina planktonica cspA thermoregulator". It matches the Rfam family "cspA thermoregulator". The record is from Rfam by way of RNAcentral. Lineage: Bacteria; Pseudomonadati; Pseudomonadota; Gammaproteobacteria; Alteromonadales; Idiomarinaceae.